AUUGAACGCUGGCGGCAGGCCUAACACAUGCAAGUCGAACGGUAACAGGAAGACGCUUGCUUCUUUGCUGACGAGUGGCGGACGGGUGAGUAAUGUCUGGGAAACUGCCUGAUGGAGGGGGAUAACUACUGGAAACGGUAGCUAAUACCGCAUAACGUCGCAAGACCAAAGAGGGGGACCUUCGGGCCUCUUGCCAUCGGAUGUGCCCAGAUGGGAUUAGCUAGUAGGUGGGGUAACGGCUCACCUAGGCGACGAUCCCUAGCUGGUCUGAGAGGAUGACCAGCCACACUGGAACUGAGACACGGUCCAGACUCCUACGGGAGGCAGCAGUGGGGAAUAUGGCACAAUGGGCGCAAGCCUGAUGCAGCCAUGCCGCGUGUAUGAAGAAGGCCUUCGGGUUGUAAAGUACUUUCAGCGGGGAGGAAGGGAGUAAAGUUAAGACCUUUGCUCAUUGACGUUACCCGCAGAAGAAGCACCGGCUAACUCCGU
RNAcentral lists this ribosomal RNA (489 nucleotides) under uncultured bacterium. RNAcentral describes it as "partial 16S ribosomal RNA". It matches the Rfam family "Bacterial small subunit ribosomal RNA", at positions 30 to 506 of the family's 1533-position model. The record is from RNAcentral.